UACGGGGGGAGCAAGCGUUGUUCGGAUUUACUGGGCGUAAAGAGCGCGCAGGCGGUCGUCCAAGUCGCGUGUGAAAGCCCCCGGCUCAACUGGGGAGGGUCACGCGAUACUGGUCGACUCGAAGGCAGGAGAGGGUAGUGGAAUUCCCGGUGUAGCGGUGAAAUGCGCAGAUAUCGGGAAGAACACCCGGGGCGAAGGCGGUUCUCUGGGACGGUACUGACGCUGAGACGCGAAAGCGGGGGGAGCGAACAGG
RNAcentral lists this ribosomal RNA (253 nucleotides) under uncultured bacterium. RNAcentral describes it as "partial 16S ribosomal RNA". It matches the Rfam family "Bacterial small subunit ribosomal RNA", at positions 524 to 776 of the family's 1533-position model. The record is from RNAcentral.